This 21624-nucleotide long non-coding RNA is filed under the name Oryza sativa (Asian cultivated rice). Its description in RNAcentral is "long non-coding RNA (OSAT_LNC000202)". Lineage: Eukaryota; Viridiplantae; Streptophyta; Magnoliopsida; Poales; Poaceae. The record is from RNAcentral.
AACCCUCUGCUAACCAACCCCAUAUCAAAACAUCUUUUCUAAUUAGCUCAUCCUCAGGAUAUUUGCUUAGAGACAACAAGCAAGUCUUCAAAUGAAAAGGUAGAUCGUUGUAACUGAGGCUUAAUAUCUUCCGCAUGUUGUCCACAUCAAGGUUGUUCUCAAGCCCCAAACUGAUAGACUUAUUGACCUUGUCCCAUUCCUCUGAAUUCCUUGGUUUGCUAGCAAGUAGGCAUGCUGUAGUAAUGAUGGCUAGCGGUACACCACCGCAUUUCUUCAAAAUUUUCUCAGUGACACCACACAAAUCACCUGGACAGUCAUCGUUAGAGUCAAAUAUUCGUUUGCAGAACAAUUGUCUGGAAUCAUCAUUAGAUAAGGGUUUCAUUUCAUAAACACCACCACCUGCAUGUUCAGCAACGACCAUGUUUCGUGUGGUUACAAUUAUCUUGCUACCAAGUUUAGCAUCUUGCACAGCAAGUUUGAUAUCAUCCCACGCUGAUUUUUCCCAAACAUCAUCAAUCACGCACAAGAACCUAAUGAUGGUAGCAUAUAAACAUGUUAUUGAACCUAGAUAUAAAUCAUGUGAAGCCUAUCCAAAAAAGACAGGAAUAUGUAUCUUGCACAUUGAAUAUCGAAAAUGGUGUUAUCAAAUUAUUAGCAAAGUGAUUGCAAGCAAGAUUUUCUAGAAGUUACAAAGAAAAGAUUACGCUGUGAUUUAAAAUAUGAAUGAGAAAACUAAAUAGUAUGUUUGUCAAUCGACAAUGCAUGGCUAUCAAACUUCUCUAAUUCGAACCAUAGAAUUAUUAUCUUUUGUCUCAUAAGAGAGAAUCUUUGUUUUUAACUUCUAAACUCUCCUAUAAAAUAGCUUGACAAGAUCUCCAUGUUUCAAUCUUCUGUCUAAAUAUCGUGAUUUGUUCCAGUUACUACAUGUUAUUAAGUGAUUAUGUCGUAUUUUAUAUAGUGUUGACAAAUGAAUCUGAAUGUGGGAAAUGCUAGAAUGACUUACAUUGUGAAACGGAGGAAGUACAAAUUUACAUGGGCAAUUUUCCAGCAAUUUUGACACAAUAACUGCAGCUUUGUAAAAUUCUAUUCACAGUCACAAAAAAAACUUAAUUAUGCGUAAACAGAGCAAAUUUCUGAAUAAUUGUGUGUUCCAUUGGACAACCAAAACUUUAUUUACAAAUCCGGUUAUAUUAGCUAGAAUACUAUAAAAAUUUGAGACAGGACUCGUGAUUAUAUUAGAAUAUUAUAAGAACUUGAGUCAGGAUCCUUAAUCGUAACAACAAAAAGUGUCUUCAAAUAAUGAUAAAGAGUAGGUAUAACAUAGAAAUGCACCUUUUAUUCUUGAGGAAGUCUUGAAUUUCAUCAAUGAACUGCUUCGUUUCCCAUGCUUCAUUUAUGUGGGCAUACCUUUUCUUGUCAAGUUGGGGAAGAAUACUUUUGAGAAUCUUGUUUAUAUCAGGUUUCAAGGAUACCGAAACAAAAAAAUGGCAAUCAAAUUUUGCCUCAAGCUCCUGGAGUAAUGAAUUGGCAAGAGUUGUCUUUCCCAAGCCUCCGAAUCCAACAAUAGAAAUUAUAUUUGAUUGCUGCCUGGAUGAGUAGUCAUGUUCCAAGAGUCGCUUAGUUAGCUCACUUUUUGGCUCAUUAAUGCCAACGAGUUCUGUUGCCUUCCGGUACAUAGCUUCUAGGCGAGGAUCAACAUCCACAAUAGUUGGUCUGGCAGCGAUGUCGUCGACUAUGUACCUACUACGACGCUCGCUGACCUUCUUGACCUGGUCCAUGAUAUCUUUGAUGACACCGUGAAUCUGAUGGUUAGUUUUGAACUUGUUGAACAAAUUGGUGACCUUCUUGAAGCUCGUGGCAAGUUCAUGCCCCUUGCCCUUUAUCAUGAAGGUGUCGAUGGCAUCUUCGAUGUCGUAAGACAGCUCCCUGACAUCGCUGGCCCAGAUCUUCGCCAGCUUAUCAAGUUUAUCUGCAGGCGUCUCAGCCACCUUGUGGAGGGCUGCGGUCAUACUUGUCAGCUCUUUCUCAAGUUCUUCGAUCUCUCCCUUGACACCCUUUUGUAGCUUGUAUUCGCCUACCAGCAGCUCCCCAAGCUUGGGGAGUAGGGUGUUCAUUGCCCCUGUGGCAACGUUCAUAUUGACCUAUCUAUCUUCAAGUGAGCUCUUGCUCGAAAAUCUGGGGUUGAAUGCCUGCACGGGUCACACAGCUGCACUUAAUCGAUCAGGAAUGACCAAGCAACACAAAAACAUGGGAGAAAACAUCUGGAUAAGAGAAAAAGAACUCCAUCCAUAUCUAGCAUGUCAAAUCGAAACUAGAAUACUAGAUUGAGCAGGCAACAAAGUAACAACCGAGUGGCUAUCUCACCUAAUCGGUCGAAGCAAGCUUUGCUACUAAUUGUUAUCAAGGCCCACGCUAUCACCAAUUUCACCAUGAGUAGCGUAAGCGCUGGCUGCAGCGACCUCUCAACGCUGCAGUCCUACUCACGAACACAACAGGAACCCAACACCGAAGAAGUGAAGAUGGUGGUCAUUCGCAUAUUAGUGUGAGCACAAGAUAGUAGCAUUUUGUCACACCGUCCAUUUGGAAACUAAUUAACUGUGCAUAUGCUAUGUUAUGAACCCCUGGGUUCAUUUCUUAAAUGCCAAUGGAUUAAACUAGCUAGUCUAGAGACCUAGAGAUCUACUCCUAUAUGGAUUGAUUUGAGUUUGGAAUCUGGAGGAGCGUCACAUGGUGCCACAUGCUUGUUUCUCGGAUGAACAAAAAGAUUCGCUGUGGCUCGAGCGGAACGAGGAGGAUAACCACGGGUUUAGUUUGAAAUAUAACUACUGUCAAUUAAUGUUAGUAUUGUAUUAUAGCAUAUUGUACUGUAAUAUCAAAUAAUAUGAAUUAGUAUAUUGCGAAUAUGUUUGCUUGUAGUUUGUUUUAUUUGAUAACGAUAUAUCUUUAUAAAUAUAGCUAUAUGGCGGUGGUUGUUUUAAUCACAACACUUAGAUAUAUACAUGUAUACUUAUACACAAAAGAAAUCUAUAAAUAUAGUGAUAGUUGGAAAAUGUUAUAAAAAUAUAUAUAGAGGAGUGUGAUAUGAAAAACGUGGUAAAGGUCUGAUGACUGAUGGAGGGGGAGAGGCCAUCCAAAUGGAAUAUAGUGGUAUUAAUUUGGGUUAAUUAGAUCCAUGCCAUCACAAAUAUAUCGAUUUAAAAAAAUACCACUACAAUCCAUCUAUUUAUAAUCGUGCCAUUAAAAUUUUACAAAAUUGAAAAUCAUGCCACAGUCAUCACGUUUUCUAUCCAUUUCAUUUUUUUUCCGUUUUCUUCUUCUUCCUCCCGUCUUCUUCCCGGUGUGCCAUCUGUCUCGUCAUCGUCAUGGUCGACUUGCUCACCGAAGAAGGGGCGGCAAUCCUCCACGGCGGCGGCCUGCAAGGACACAGCCACCGGCUCCAGCGGCUCCCGUGGGGGUUCCGCGGCAGCUUGACGUAGAAGAGGGCCGGGAGCCGAAGUAGAUGAGCGCGAGGAGAUCCUCGACGGAUGAAUCAGCGCCAGAGGAGGAGGGCACAGCGACGGAUGGGGGAAGGGGCAACCCAGGAACCCAGGAGGAGUGCUCCUCGGCAAGGGCGUCGGCGAGCGGGGCACGCAUCCGCUCCGCACGAGCACGAGCACUACAAGCUGCACCGCAUGACGGUCGUCUCGUUCCCCCGCUCCAAACCCUGCCACCACCAGCUACUCCUCCGGCCGUGCAAGUCGACGUCCUUCUUCUCAUUUCACUUCUCUCUUCUCUCAUACUGUAUGUUUGGAUCCAAUCCCCUCAGCCCACCAGAUCCUUACGCAUUCAUCCAUCCAUCCCUACUUUUUUUGCCUGAAAAGAUUGGAGACCAUGUUCUUGGAUUCCAGGAUCGAAUCCGUGGAAGCAACAAAUAAAAAUCACAUAUAUAUUUUUCUUUGCUUGGUCCUGAGUUUUGUUUGGUUCCUUCCUGCUUGGUUUCUUCCUCACCGUCGUUGACGCCCACCACAAGGAGCCGCCUCACCUUGGUGAGCGCGGUGGCGGCCAUGGUGACGAUGAACAGCACCCGGGAAAAAGGGAAGAAAGAAAAGGAAAGAGGAAGAAGACAAAGACGGGACGAAGAAGAAGAAAACAGGAAGAAGAAGAGAUGGAUGGAAAACGUGACGGCAGUGGCACUGUUCCAAUUUUAUAAAAUUUGAAUGACACGGCUACGAAUAGACGAAUUGUAGUGGUAUUUUUCUGAAUCGACAUAUUUGUGAUGGCAUGGAUCUAAUUAACCCUUUUUUUAUUUGUUUUUAUUUUGAUUGAUGCUGCAAUGCAAGUCGGUGUUGUGGAUUUGAAUCCGAUGCAUUUGUGUUCAUGUAUAGAUUGUGUUGAUGAAUGGAUGUUUGUGAUUGUCUUUUGUUGAAUGAAUAAGAAUUUUUUAUUUGUGGGUGAAACCCGAGGGCGGGCUGGUUUGGCGGCGAAAAUUAUUUUUUAGCGCUGAAACUAUUUUCACAGGCGGGGCUGCUGUUGCGUGGGAAAAUUGAAUUUCUGCAUGUGAAAAUGAUUUUCGCGGGUGGUGCUUGGUCCGUCUGGAAAAAUUAAUGAUUUUUACGUGCGGAUGGUUUGGCCGCCCGCGAAAACAUGUUUUGGCCGCCCGUAAAAAAUAGUUUUUCUAGUAGAGUCUGUCAACCCAUCCAUCAGCGCAACCCGGGGCGCUGCAUCACGGCGGCCGGCGAAGUGCCAGACUGCCAGCCCUUAGAUAAUUGGACGGCGCCAAGCUCCUGCCGCCGAGGCGCGUGCACCACAGGUAUAGGCGCGGCGCGGCCAGCUUCAUCGCGCAAACCACACCCUCUGCGGCCACCCGCACUGCCACCGCCUCAUCCGUCCACUGCUUCAGCGACGGCCACUUGGUACAUAUGCGCUAGCGCCAUCACCAGAUUCCAAACAGAAACAAAGCAAAGUUCAGAAACUCCACGCCUAAAAAUAGAAAAAAGCAUCAAGAGGUAUCUAGUGUCGACCGUUGCUUAAUCCUUUGUUCAUGCUCCCGUCUGUGAAAACAAGGAGCAUGUUGAUUGUCUGAUUCUAAUGCUUGAUGGCAGGGAGAACAUCAAGUGCUUGCGAUUUUCCACUAGUUCGUUAGAGAGGUUUUUCCCUGUGUGCCAUUAAAAAAGAUGAUGCCUUCCUCUGUGCCACUAAAAAGUUCGAGCCUCCCUCCAUACCAUCGUCGAAUUUUAUCGCGCCCUCCACACCAUUCCAUCCGUUUUUGUUGUAACGGUGGGUAACGGCGCAGCCAAAUAACUUAAUUGCCCUUAGGCAUCCUAGCACUCUCCUCUCUCCCCUCAAAUGCAACAGCAGCAAAGGAGUGAGAAGGCGAGCCAGCGCCUGGGGACGGACGCGGCCGACGUGGGCUCCUGCAGGGCGAAGCGCAGUUCGCCACCGCUGCCGGCACUGGGGAGAAGACGGCGGCGUGGCGACAACGACGGCGGCGGCCACGGGUAGGAGGAAUACGAGCAGUUCGGCGGCAGGGUGGGGCGCGUUGUGUGGCGAAGGGAAGGUGUCGGGGUUCCCAACGACGAUGCGGGCGUAGGAAAGGAUGAGGCCGCGGAGGUGCGCGAUGGAGGCGGCGAGGUGCGCGCGGAGGGCGGCGUCGCGGAUGGUGGAGAUCUUGCAGGCCUUGUCGGCGGCGUGGCGGAAGGAGGAGGCGAGGUAGGCAAAGGGGGAGGGGUUGCCGGCGGGUUGGUCCGAGAGGGAGAGGCGGUCGAUGAGGAGGAUCUUGCGCGUGAUGAUGUCCUCCACCUCGUCGGGCGUCCGCUGCGGCCACGCUGCCGGGGACGGCGACGCCAUCGCCGGUGAUGCGGCGCGAGGGUUGUUGCUUCGACUUCGUCUUGUAGUUGGGCGGCAGCGUUGCAACGACGACGAUGACCAGCACGCCAUCAGGGCUGAGGCGGAGGUUGUCAGCGGGAGGCCACUGUCCUCCUCGCUGCUCGUGUUGUGUCAGCAGCGGAGGCAGAGCCGCCACCGCAACGUGGACGGGUUCGCGGAUCCGCGGCAUGGCGAAGCUGGAGGAGCUGUUCGCUCGGCUCGGCGGAGACGGCGGUGACGAGGGAAGGGGAGGCCGGCGUGGUGGCGCGGGCGUCCAGCGGCUCGGCCACACUCGGCUGGGUGUCGGCCGGUGGAGAGAGGGGAAUCGAGGGAGAAGAGAGAAUGAAAGGGCAAGAGCGAUAUUUUUCCUGCCCGGGCCCACAUGACAGAGUUGCCAAACGGUAACCCAAAAAGAAUAGCGACGGAGCGACGGAAUGGUGUGGAGGGCACCAUAAAGUUCGACGAUGACAUAGAGGGAGGCUCGAACUUUUUAGUGGCACAGAGGAAGGCACCAUCUUUUUUAAUGGCAAAUAAGGGAAAAACCUCUUCGUUAGAUCCUGCUCAUAACACCUCGUAAUCCUAAUUGCAGUUAAGACCUUGAUUCCGUCAGUCACGCACGCGUAUCGGUAGCGCCUUGCCAGGCGGCCGCACGUCGCUGCCAGGCCGACGCCGUCGCCUCCACCCUCGGGCGUCGUCCCUGCAAAUCACAGGAGGAGACCCUGAAGAGAGAUGGAAAACGAAGAAGUCAGAGGAUUUAACGCCACGGUUUGGGGGCAAUUUGAUGCCACGGUUUGAGGGCAGUUUGAUGCCCACGGUUAGGGUUAACGGAGGAUUUAUCAGAAAUCGUGACAGAGUGGCAUGUUUCUAAUUUUUAAAAGGUUCAGUGGCAUCCACCCGAUUUCAUGAAUACUAUUAGUAAAUUUUUAAUUGGGUAAAUUUACAAUGGCAUGGAUCCAAUUAACCCAUAAAAAAACACAAUCAUCGUAGGGUGCAGCUCCGUCACCGCCGGCCUUCUCCCUGCUGCCCUUUACUGCUACAAAUGGGAGGGCCAUGCCGCCGCCGCCGGCGGCCUCCCCCCUCCGGGCCGAUCAGAGAGGAAAGAGGGAGGAAGGGAGGGGACGACCACACCAGGGAGGGAGGGUGAUCUGCCGCCGGCUCUCAUCAUCGGUGCCGUCCCUCGUCGCUGAGCAGCCGCCUCAGGCCCUCCUUGCCUCGCCGAGCCGCCACCGCUAGCUCCACCUUGCCGAGCCGCCUCCGUCAGACCUCCUCAUCGGCGCUGACCCUCAUUGCCGAGCCUCGCCAAGCCGCCGCCGGACCUCCCCGUCGAACCGCCGCCGCCGCCGGCCCUCCCCGCCGAGCCGCCACCACCGCCGGACCACCUCCUCCUCGCCUAGCCGUCGCCGGCCCUCCCCCCCCCCCCCCCCGAACCGCCGCCGCCGCCGGACCUUCUCCUCCUCACCCAGCCGAGCCGACCUCGCGCGCUGGCUCUCCUUGCAGGCUCCGAGGAGAGGGAGGGGGAGAGAGAGAGAGGGGAGGGGAGGAUAAGGUUUGAGUGGUGGCCUGGUGGGGGGAGUCGGGGAGACGGGAUAUGUGGUGCUCUUAUGAAUGACAUAUUUAUUGUAGUUGAACAUGCCCUCAGUGACCGUUUGUCGUUUGGAAGGGAAAGACGAAGUGCUAAUUGGGAAAAUUAUAAAAACCAUCCAUUAUAUCACCUCGAGUUUGGGAUUACCCCUAUAAAAUGCUUUUCACAAAUAUCUCCCUCCUAAUUUACCUUGGUUUGAUAUUCUGGAAAUGAAUCAAUAAUCUAAGAUUAGCCGAUUAUUCUACAGUUUCUGUGUUUGCUGCCAAAACAGCUAACAACUGAUGAACAAGAAAAGUUAUUAUGGUUCAAAUACUCAACAGCACCUGCUGAUCGUCAAUUAAUUGUUACUGGACUCAUUUUUCCCACCUAUUUGAUACUGACUGGAUGUCAAUUAAUUGUUACUGGACGUCAGUGUUGUGGAAUCUUUAUUACUAGUAUUUUCUUCCAUCGUGCUAGACUUUGAUGAAGUGUUUUUACUGGAUGUCAAUUCUUGACAGCCAAAUGUUAUCCUAAGUCCCAACUAAUCUUAACUCUCCCAAGUAAAUGCAAGAAAACAUCAAAGCACUUACAAAUUUAACUACAAUCUUCCAGCCUUUGUUGUGAAUUGUGAUAGAUUCUCACAAAAAUAAUUUGAACAGACGGGAUCUUAUAGAAAAACAUAUAGCUCACGACAGGAAUAAUAACAAUGGUGUGAAAUAGACGACAAAAGCUUUAAAACAUAGGGAAUGUUGAUCUCUUUGUGGGUUGUGACUUGAUAAUUUGCUUUUGCAAAUCUCUUGCCUUUUACUGGACGAAAGCUUGUGAUCUUUUACAAUGUCAAACCCAAUCAAAGGUGUAAAAUAAUAAGAGCCAACAAAUGUAAUAAUUCUUCAUGUUCACAAUAUAGAUAGGAAAAAAAAACAUUUAUAACCAAGUCACUGGCAUCAUAAUAUAUAUGCCUUUUUUUUUGUUGAAACAAUUCAUUGAGGUACAUACACCAAAACAAUAAUGAAUAUGAAACACUGCUAGAGCAUUAGAGAUUUGCUGCAUAAAAAUGCAGAAUCAGCACCCGUUCAUCCUCAAUCACAACUCUAAUGAACCUUACCAAUGUCAUGCAGCGCAUUCUGGGUGGCACAGACUCCUAAUAGCUCUUGCAGCUUCAAGCAGCCAAACCAGCUAUCCUUUUUUUCUUACAUGGAUAUGCACAUCGAGCUCUUGUAUAAUACAUUAAAUAUUUAAAAAAUAUAAACAUAACAUAUAGCUUAAAACAAGUGAUCUAACAAAUGCAGUGGAGAAUAUAUAUUUCAAUCCGUGGAGUAAAUACUCCAUUUCAACAAUCCCACCAUGAAUAAUAUGAAAACUAACAGGGUCUUAUAUCUUCUUGCUUGAAUUCCAAAUAACAUAGUACUGCUCUUUAUAGAGAGCCAACUAAACAACUCGAUUCUAAUUUCAUGGAAUGGAAACAACCAAAACAACUGGUAGAUAGAUAGAUAGAUAGAUAAGCCGAUAAUUUCACCCACUCUGUUGCAUCGCCUAUUGUUCGUGUGCUCCCUUGUUGGGCUUACGAUGAUAGAUUGCAGGUGAUACUGAACGACCAUAAUUACAUGAUGAGUAAGACACCUGCAACAAGAAGUUAGUUUUUAUUAAAUCUACCAUUGAAUAUAUUUUUAUUGUAUUUUACUUUGCUUUGAAAAUGUUGUUAUUUGAUCAAACUUGAAUAAGUUUGAUUUAGGAAAAACCCUUCAUCGAUUUGUAGUGUGAAAAGGAGUACAAGGUAAAAAAAAGUCUCAAUUGAAUGAUUAUUUGUGUUGUACAGAUAAAGAAAACCAGGCAAAUAUCUAACCAUGCAAAUAUGCAGAAAUUUGGCUAGUUGGAAAUUAACUUGGAGUGACCCACGCAUAUAAGCAUUAUUUAGAGAUGCACUUGAUACUGCAGUGGUAAGAGGUGUGUGGUUUCAACCCUGAGAUCACGUGUUCAAUCCCUAACAUGCUCGUAAUUUGUUCAAAAAAAAACUUUGGAAGGAUGUUUCUCCCUCCAAAUCUUGUUUUUAUUAAUAUAAGCAUUAUUUACAAUGAGAUGUCAAAUUACGUAACAUAGUUGACACUUGACUGCAAUGGCAUAAAAGAAAUCAUCUCAAUAUAACAAUUCUCUUACGUAACGAUAUAGGGGGAGGGGAAAAAAGGAAUGUAUAACUAGGAGUAAGAAGUUGAUUGCACGCUGAUAUGCUAAAGUUCAUAAAGAGUUUUUUGGGUUUUUUUUAAGAUAAUGAAUAACCUGGCAGCUGCAUCAAAGACGUACAUAGGCUAUCAUGCAUUACUGUACGCCAAGCAAAGAUAGAAAAAAAUAACGUUCAUAAAGAUACAUCAUAUUAAACGUUGAGUGGGAGGCUUGGUGGACCUAGCAUUAUAUAAUGGCUAGUACAUGAAAAAAAAGGUUGUUGAUUAGGGGAAGAAAUCAGCUAAGUACCUGAGUUAGUUCAUCACCAUCGUAUUUCGAGCGCUGCUUGAUUAGGAUAGUCCUUAAGUGCCUCUCUAACAACAGCCUUGCUGCUUGAAUAAAUGGUUGCAUGCCGAAGGGAGUGGAGAUUCUCCAAACCUAAAUCAUUUAAGCCACCCCUCCUUAGGCUGGUCCAAAUACGAAGAUAAAGCCUUUCAAGGUGGGGCAUAGCUCCUGGUUGAAACGAUGGCAUCAUGGGGCUAUAAAAGUGAAAAUCUUUUAAACUCCGAAAUACACAUGCACCUCUGUGGAUAGUGAGCUUUUCCUAUAGUUGUUCCGAAACAAAUGCUAACUGUAGCCUGAGAAAGCGAAGAGAUGGAAGCUCAGCGAGGCGAUCAAGGUGGUCAGACUGGAGAUAUUCAAAACACAGCCAAAUGGAUAAGGUGGUGAGGCGGGAGAGCAUCGACGAAUUGAUCCAACAUGGGAAUGCUUUCAUAUACGAAUGGUGCAUGAACAACCUUUGGAGACCAGAAGGAACCUGUUGCAUGUCUAUGAUUUCUUCAAAACUAUUAUUAUUUCUCAAAUCUAGGUCUUGCAAAUUGGUGAACCUUUGUAUAGACGUUUGAAUGGAUUCCUUUAACUCAAAUGUUUUUUCACUACUGAAAACGAUCCUAAGAGUCCUUAGCUCCGUCAAAUUGCCAAUCUCUUUUAUUACCUUUCGGGUAGCUUCUAUUACAAGCUCCUGUAAAGAUUUCAUAUCCCCCAGCAUCAGACCUUGUGCCAGCUUCACUCUGCCAGCAUAUAGCCGCAACAGUUUCCUUAGUUUGGCAAAAGACAUUGGAAACAGUACCUUAUGAGAUUUAAAAGAACUUGGUUUACGUGCACCUCUUAUGUCCAAGGUUUCGAGAGAUUCCAGUUUCCCAAUGCUUUCAGGGAGCUCAGUGGCACCAUAGUGCCCUAGACGCAGAAAUCUUAGGAGGAGUAGCUUAUCGAGAUGAUUAAGAUGGUUCUUGUCCAUUCCACUGCAGUCCUCAAGCUGCAACACACGCAGGACAUGAAAGCUCGACAAGGGUGGUAUCGAGUCGACCUUGCCGAAGAUAGUAAUCGACCUUACUUUGGACAAUUGUUCUCUUGCUUCUGGCGAGGCAUAGGACUUAUUGCUGUUAUGGAGAGAUAAUCGGCGAAUCUUCUUCUUUUGUGCUGUACAUGUAUGUUUACCUGUUUGUUGACCAUCAGAUAAAUACGUUGUAACAAAAUCUUCUUCUACUGACAGCUGAUUUAUUAGCUCAAGCACCAUGUCAUGUACUUUGCAUGCAUGCACCUUACCAUCUUCAUCCCAAAGAGUGUUCUCACUCAUUGGCUGGAUCAAGCUUCGAUUGAUGAGCUCGUUGAAGUAGCUCUCGCCAAUCUCCUGCAAGCUUGUCCCUGCAGGUCGUGUUUCAUCUGUAAUAAAACCCUCUGCUAACCAACUCCAUAUCAAAACAUAUUUUCUAAUUAGCUCAUCCUCAGUAUAUUUGCUUAGAGACAACAAGCAAGUCUUCAAAUGAAAAGGUAGAUCGCUGUAACUGAGGCUUAAUAUCUUCCGCAUGUUGUCCACAUCAAGGUUGUUCUCAAGCCCCAAACUGAUAGACUUAUUGACCUUGUCCCAUUCCUCUGAAUUCCUUGGUUUGCUAGCAAGUAGGCAUGCUGUAGUGAUGAUUGCUAGCGGUACACCACCACAUUUCUUCAAAAUUUUCUCAGUGACACCACACAAAUCAGCAGGACAGUCAUCGUUAGAGUCAAAUAUUCGUUUGCAGAACAAUUGUCUGGAAUCAUCAUCAGAUAAGGGUUUCAUUUCAUAAACACCACCGCCUGCAUGUUCUGCAAUGACCUUGUUUCGCGUGGUUACAAUUAUUUUGCUACCAAGUUUAGCAUCUUGCACAGCAAGUUUGAUAGUAUCCCACGCUGAUUUUUUCCAUACAUCAUCAAUCACGCACAAGAACCUAAAGAUGGUAGCAUAUACACAUGUUAUUGAACCUAGAUAUAAAUCAUGUGAAGCCUGUCCAAAAAAGAUAGGAAUAUGUAUCUUGCACAUUGAAUGUCGAAAAUGAUGUGCAGCUUUAAAUGUGUAAUUUUCCAACAAUUUUGACACAAUAAGUGCAGCUUUGUGAAUUUCUAUUCACAAAGUUACAAAGAUACUUAAUUAUGCGUAAAUAGGGCAGAUUUCUGAAUAACUAUGUGUUCCAUUGGAAAACCAAAACUUUAUUUACAAGCCAGUUAUAUUAUAAUAGUAUAAAAACUUGAGCUAGGAUUCCCGGUUAUAUUAGAAUACAAUAAAAACUUGAGCCAGGACUCUUAUUUGUACAACAAAAGGUAUCUUCAAAUAAUGAUAAAAGGUAGGUAUAACAUAGAAAUGUACCUUCUAUUGUUGAGGAAGUCUCUAAUUUUGUCGAUGAGCUGCUUCGUUUCCCAUGUUUCAUCUAUGUGGGAAUACAUUUUCUCAUCAAGUUGGAGAAGAAUGUUCUUGAGAAUCUUGUUUAUAUCAGGAUUCAAGGACACCGAAACAAAACAAUAGCUGUCAAAUUUUGCCUUAAGCUCCUGAAAUAAUGAAUUGGCAAGAGUUGUCUUUCCUAAGCCUCCGAAUCCAACAAUAGAAAUUAUAUUUGAUUGUUGGCUGGAUGAGCCGUCAUAUUCCAAGAGUUGCUUAGUUAGCUCAUUUUUUGGCUUGCUAAUGCCAAUGAGUUUUGUUGCCUUUCGGUACAUAGCUUCUAGGCGAGAAUCAACAUCCACAACAGUUGGCCUGGCAGCGAUGUCAUCGACUCUGCACCUGUCACGACGCUCGCUGACCUUCUUGACCUGGUCCAUGAUGUCUUUGAUGACACCGUGGAUCUGAUGGUUAGUUUUGAACUUGUUGAACAAAUUGGUGACCUUCUUGAAGCUCGUGGCAGGUUCAUGCCCCUUGCACUUUAACAUGAAGGUGUCGAUGGCAUCCUCGAUGUCGUAAGAUAGCUCUCUCACCUCGCUGGCCCAGAUCUUGACCUGCUGGUCAAGUUGAUCCACAGGUGUCUCAGCCACCUUGUGGAGUGCUGCGGUCAUACCUUUCAACUCUUUCUCAAGUUCUUCGAUCUCUCCCUUGACACCCUUUUGCAGCUUGUAUUCGCCAACCAGCAGCUCCCCAAGCUUGGGGAGGAGGGUGUUCAUUGCCCCAGUGGCGAUGUUCAUCUUGGCCUAUCUGAUGUUGAAUGCCUGCACGGGUAUACACAGAUGCACUUAAAUGAGCCUCUUGAGUUUAUCAGUAUGUAUCAGGAUUCAGGAAUGAUCAAGCAACCGCAAAAACAUGGAGAAAAACGACAUCUGAAUAAUUAAGCUGCUAUGUAGCAUGUCAAAUCGAGACUAGAUUGAGGUAACAACCGUGUGCUGCAUCACCUAAUCGAUCCAAGCAAAGCUCAUCACCGUGAGCAGCGCAAGAUAGCGACCUCUCAACGCUAUACGGUAUACUAGUAACAGGAAGGACCAAGCAACGACGCCCAAACACACAUGGAGAAAAUCAGCAUCUGGAUCAACGGGGCGUACCGGAAUUGGAGGGUCGGGACAGUGGAUGCGGUCGUCGUCGCCGCUGGCUCCGCUCCGAUCCGCCCCUUGGCCGCGCCGCCCCCGAUCGAUCGAUGCCGUGGUGGAGUCCGGUCUUAUCGAAGCGGCUGGCGGCGAGUAGAGGAGCUCGCUCGGGUCAACGGGUGGGAGACGGAGUGCUCCAGCGCAUGGUAGUGGAGGAAAUGAUAAAACUAGCUGUGCGCCUGUGCCCCCGCGCAUCGCGGAUCAUGCCUAUAGAUCCUUAAUCAUAAAAGAAAAAAAAUAAAAAAAAUAAAAAUUAACAUGAUUGUAAACAACAUCAGUGGCGGAUCAAAGAAAAUCGGUUCGUUGGUGUCAUAACGUGUCUAGCUAUCGGUAUCGGUGUCAUAGUAUACUAAUUAUGCUUAGAUUAUGGUGUUAUAAUGUAUGGAUAAGCAGUUUUACUAUAGGUUGGUUUUGCCAAAAGUCGUCAGUGUCGCCUGACACCGACGCAUAUACUAUAGAUCCGCCCCUAAACAACAUAGCUUGCAACAACGCUAUAGAAUAAUAACUCGAUCAGAAAGAGAAUAUCACAUAGAAGGGCAUGCAGCCCAGUGGUUGUAGUGACACCCUAAGGUCCUGAGUUAAGUCUUCAUAGGAGCGAAUUUUAGAUUGGAUUAUUUGAGGGCUAAGUUUCUAAUUUAAAAUUGGAUUAUUUGAUGGCUAAGUUCCUAAUUUAAAACGGCUACAUAUACCCCGGUUGGAUGUUGAGGCCGCCAGUUGGAUCUAAUUUAAAAUUGGAUUAUUUGAGGGCUAUGUUCCUAUGUUGAGGCCGGGUAAAAAAUAUCCUUCUCCCGGGUAAAAAAAUAUCCUUCUCCCUUUGAGGGCUAAGUUCCUAUGUUGAGACCGGGUAAAAAAUAUCCUUAAAAUAUCCCAGUUGGAUGUUGAGGCCGGGUAAAAAAUAUCCUUCUUCCGGGUAAAAUCCCGAAAAAGGGUAUCCUUCUCCCGAGUAAAAAAUACCAUUCUCCUGAAAAAAAAAUCCUUCUCCCGAGUAAAAAAUAUCAUUCUCCCGAUUGGAUGUUGAGGCCGGAUAAAAAAUAUCCUUCUCUAAAAAAACGAUGUUCAAUUAUAUCCUUCUCUAGAAAAACCUAGUAUGGUAAAUAUCCUUCUCUAAAAAAAACUUUGAGUGACUAGUAUACUUUUGUGGAGCACAUGGUGCUAGUACUAGUAUGGCAAAUAUCCUUCUCUAAAAAAACUUUGAGUGACUAGUAUACUUUCGUGGAGCACAUGGUGCUGGUGCUAGUAUGGCAAAUAUCCUUCUCUACAAAUUGAGUGACUAGUAUACUUUUGUGGAGCACAUCAUGCUAGUGCUAGUAUGGUAAAUAUCCUUCUCUAGAAAAAAAUGAAUUAAAGUAAAGGAUAAACAACGUAAAAUCUACUAAAAGUACCAAAAAAAUGGAAUUUCAUCAACAUCUGAAUUUUUGUAUAUAUAUUAUUUAUUUUAUUGUUUUGUAUCUAGCAAAAUUGUAGGGUAGAACGACAUAAUAGAUCCUGGCUUCUCCAUUUAAUUCGGAGAAAAGGAGGUAUUUUUGUUCAUGGAACAUUGAUAGAGAAAAAAGCCGACUAUCGGAUUUGAACCGAUGACCCUCGCAUUACAAAUGCGAUGCUCUAACCUCUGAGCUAAGUGGGCUUACAUAACAGAAAUAGUGUAACAAAUAGAAAUAUGUAUAGUAUAGGAAAUCCGUAAAUCUAAAAAAAACUUUGAGUGACUAGUAUACUUUUGUGGAGCACAUGGUGCUAGUGCUAGUAUGGCAAAUAUCCUUCUCUAAAAAUUGAGUGACUAGUAUACUUUUGUGGAGCACAUCAUGCUAGUGCUAGUAUGGUAAAUAUCCUUCUCUAGAAAAAAUGAAUUAAAGUAAAGGAUAAACAGCGUAAAAUCUACUAAAAAUACCACAAAAAAUGGAAUUUCAUCAACAUCUGAAUUUUUGUAUAUAUAUUAUUUAUUUUAUUGUUUUGUAUCUAGCAAAAUUGUAGGGUAGAACGACAUAAUAGAUCAUGGCUUCUCCAUUUAAUUCGGAGAAAAGGAGGUAUUUUUGUUCAUGGAACAUUGAUAGAGAAAAAAGCCGACUAUCGGAUUUGAACCGAUGACCCUCGCAUUACAAAUGUGAUGCUCUAACCUCUGAGCUAAGUGGGCUUACAUAACAGAAAUAGUGUAACAAAUAGAAAUAUGUAUAGUAUAGGAAAUCCGUAAAUCUAAAAAAAACUUUGAGUGACUAGUAUACUUUUGUGGAGCACAUGGUGCUAGUGCUAGUAUGGCAAAUAUCCUUCUCUAAAAAUUGAGUGACUAGUAUACUUUUGUGGAGCACAUCAUGCUAGUGCUAGUAUGGUAAAUAUCCUUCUCUAGAAAAAAUGAAUUAAAGUAAAGGAUAAACAGCGUAAAAUCUACUAAAAGUACCACAAAAAAUGGAAUUUCAUCAACAUCUGAAUUUUUGUAUAUAUAUUAUUUAUUUUAUUGUUUUGUAUCUAGCAAAAUUGUAGGGUAGAACGACAUAAUAGAUCCUGGCUUCUCCAUUUAAUUCGGAGAAAAGGAGGUAUUUUUGUUCAUGGAACAUUGAUAGAGAAAAAAGCCGACUAUCGGAUUUGAACCGAUGACCCUCGCAUUACAAAUGCGAUGCUCUAACCUCUGAGCUAAGUGGGCUUACAUAACAGAAAUAGUGUAACAAAUAGAAAUAUGUAUAGUAUAGGAAAUCCGUAAAUCUAAAAAAAACUUUGAGUGACUAGUAUACUUUUGUGGAGCACAUGGUGCUAGUGCUAGUAUGGCAAAUAUCCUUCUCUAAAAAAACUUUGAGUGACUAAUAUACUUUCGUGGAGCACAUGGUGCUAGUGCUAGUAUGGCAAAUAUCCUUCUCUAAAAAUUUAGUGACUAGUAUACUUUUGUGGAGCACAUCAUGCUAGUGCUAGUAUGGUGAGUAUUCUUCUCUAGAAAAAAAGAUGUUCUCGAUUUUGAGUGACUAGUAUACUUUUGUGGAGCACAUGGGGCUAGUGCUAGUAUGGUAGUACUGUAAAGACAACGGUAGUUGUUCAAUUAAUUGAGUGACUAGUAUACUUUUGUGGAGUACAUGGUGCUCGUGCCAGUAUGGUAGUAUUAGAGCAGGUACAAUAGCAGGCUAUAAGCCAGUUGCAAAUAUAUUUUAAGGAGUUAAAUAAGGAGAGAGAAGAGCAGCGGGCUACAGAAUUGUAGCCACCUGUAGCACGGACUCCAAGACGCAGUAUGUGUAUGACAGGUGGGACCAGAUAUUAAUAGUGUAGUAUGUAACUAUUGUAUGAAUAAGCUAUUAGAUUGGCUAUAGAUGAACUGGAGCUAGUAGUUAGCUAUACUAUUGAACUUGCUCUUAUAAAGACAAUGGUAGUCGUUCAGUUAUUCGAAGUGUUGUCGUGGUAUCCUCGCUGAAUAUGACUUUUGUAUGGACCUUGUCAUGUAAGCCGUCAGACUUAGCAUCACUUUUGCACAUAUGGCUGUUAGGCGCUUGUAUGGACCUCCUUGUGUACGACUAAGAUUUGUUAUCUAGUCAUUUGGAACUGCUUCUACAUAUGCUACAUGGGUUGCUUUGUUCUGACUCACUUCGCAACUUUGCUUUGGUUGCCCACUGGUUAUGAACUCAGGGAUUUGAUUAUUUAUUGUUGUGUUCACUUCAACUCCAAAUGUGCCAGAAAGACACAAGUUUUAUCAUGUUAUGCAUAGCUAAGCGCCAAAUAUUAUGGCGUGGAAACUGCAACAUUCAGCGCCAUAGCAUUUGGCGUGGACAUCCAGCACUACACCAAGCCAUACCUACCUGGUCGACUAAGUUAACCAGUUCAGCGCCAAAUACCUCGGCGCUGACCUUAGCCACAACAGCGCCGAGUCGGAUGGUGCUGAGCUUUGACACACUGGCACCAUCCACGGUGUCACGACAUUCAGCGCCGUUACAUUUGGCGCUGAACCUCCGGGUUAUUUUUGAAAUAAGUUUUGGCCGCGAUUCAUUUACGAAAUAAGUUUUUGCAAAGGGUCAAAUUGUCAAAAAUUUUGCAUGGUGCAGAGGCGUAGUCCUCGCGCGCGUAGAGAGGCUGUAUUCACGUGGAUGGAUCAUGCGGUGGUUAAAUCAUGCGCGCGGAUGGACGGUAAUGAUUGGUCCAGAUGAUUUGGCCGGUAGGAUUGGAGAGGGAUAACUCCUCUUUUUUAUAUUAGUAUAGAUAUAGAUAUAGAUAUAGUUAUAGAUAUAGAUAUAGAUAUAGAUAUAGAUGUAUGGGACCAUAAUAUUUUUAUAAUCAGUGUUACACUAACAGCGGGUAUCUCGGCUCAUAGUACAAUUUCGUAUUUCAAUGCCUAGCUGUACCCCGGAAGACCUGGGGCGAUGAUUAAUUAAUUUGUAAGCAUAGUCAAACAAAACCGUGUCAGCACAUCACAGGUGGUAAUUGCAACUUAUAUGGUACAUAUUUUUACUAAGCAGCUAUACUAAAUUGGCCGGCCAUGAAAAAAAAAAACAAAUAGAAAUCAAGGUUUACUGCUCCAUGAUCCAGAACCUAUGAAUUUGUAUCCAGUUCUGUAGAUAUGAGAGUUCAAUAUUCUUGUCAGCUUGUCAUUAAUAUAAUUAGCAUCAAUCUACAUUAGCCACCAUCUUUGCAAAAAUCAUCUUUGCAGACAGCGUAUAUAAGGCCCCGCUUGCAAUAAUCGCAGGUGGUCGCCUUACGUGCGCCAACUGCAAAGAUACUUUUUUUUUUGCAGGUGGCUCCUUAUGUACUCCACCUGCCAAAAUAGUAGUACUCCCAUCGUUCCUAAAUAUUUGACGUCGUUAACUUUUUUAAACAUAUUUGACCGUUCGUCUUAUUCAAAACAUUUAAGUAAUUAUUAAUUAUUUUCCUAUGAUUUGAUUUAUUGUUAAAUAUACUUUUAUGUAUACAUAUAGUUUUACAUAUUUCACAAAAGUUUUUAAAUAAGACGAACGGUCAAACAUAUUUUAAAAAGUUGACGGCGUCAAAUAUUUAGGGAUGGAGUAUAUAGUUAUCUUCUUCCCCGAGCUCUAUUCAUUUCAUCCGAGAUUUCUUUCUCCUAUAACAACCAAAAUAUAGGGGGGAGAUUUUGAACUUCAAAUCUUCGGGGAUUUUUAUACAGUGGUUAGAUCUACACCUUUCUACUCUUGUUAUGCAUUUUUUUAAUAAUUUUAAACCUUUUCUUUAAUUAUGAUAGAUCUAUGCAUAAAAAUGCAGAAUCAGCACCCGUUCAUCCUCAAUCAGAACUCUAAUGAACCUUACCAAUGUUAUGCAGCGCAUUCUGGGUGGCACAGACUCCUAAUAGCUCUUGCAGCUUCAAGCAGCCGAACCAGCUAUCCCUUUUUUCUUACAAGGAUAUGCACAUCGAGCUCUUGUAUAAUACAUUAAAUAUUUAAAAAAUAUAAACUUUACAUAUAGCUUAAAACAAGUGAUCUAACAAAUGCAGUGGAGAAUAUAUAUUUCAAUCCGUGGAGUAAAUAAUCCAUUUCAACAAUCCCACCAUGAAUAAUAUGAAAACUAACAGGGUCUUAUAUCUUCUUCCUUGAAUUCCAAAUAACAUAGUACUGCUCUUUAUAGAGAGCCAACUAAACAACUCGAUUCUAAUUUCAUGGAAUGGAAACAACCAAAACAACUGGUAGAUAGAUAGAUAGAUAAGCCGAUAAUUUCACCCACUCUGUUGCAUCGCCUAUUGUUCGUGCGCUCCCUUGUUGGGCUUACGAUGAUAGAUUGCAGGUGAUACUGAACGACCAUAAUUACAUGACGAGUAAGACACCUGCAACAACAAGUUAGUUUUUAUUAAAUCUACCAUUGAAUAUAUUUUUAUUGUAUUUUACUUUGCUUUGGAAAUGUUGUUAUUUGAUCAAACUUGAAUAAGUUUGAUUUAGGAAAAACCCUUCAUCGAUUUGUAGUGUGAAAAGGAGUACAAGGUAAAAAAAAAAGUCUCAAUUGAAUGAUUAUUUGUGUUGUACAGAUAAAAAAACCAGGCAAAUAUCUAACCAUGCAAAUAUGCAGAAAUUUGGCUAGUUGGAAAUUAACUUGGAGUGACCCACGCAUAUAAGCAUUAUUUAGAGAUGCACUUGAUACUGCAGUGGUAAGAUGUGUGUGGUUUCAACCCUGAGAUCACGUGUUCAAUCCCCAACAUGCUCGUAAUUUCUCAAUAUAACAAUUCUCUUACGUAACAUAGUUGACACUUGACUGCAAUGGCAUAAAAGAAAUCAUCUCAAUAUAACAAUUCUCUUACGUAACGAUAUAGGGGGAGGGGAAAAAAGGAAUGUAUAACUAGGAGUAAGAAGUUGAUUGCACGCUGAUAUGCUAAAGUUCAUAAAGAGUUUUUUGGGUUUUUUUUAAGAUAAUGAAUAACCUGGCAGCUGCAUCAAAGACGUACAUAGGCUAUCAUGCAUUACUGUACGCCAAGCAAAGAUAGAAAAAAAUAACGUUCAUAAAGAUACAUCAUAUUAAACGUUGAGUGGGAGGCUUGGUGGACCUAGCAUUAUAUAACAGCUAGUGCAUGAAAAAGAAGGUUGUUGAUUAGGGGAAGAAAUCAGCUAAGUACCUGAAUUAGUUCACCGUAAUAGUAAUUCGAGCGCUGCUUGAUUUGGAUAGUCCUUAAGUGCCUCUUCAAUAACAGCCGUGUUCUCACCCAUGUAAUCAAUGGUUACAUGCCGAAGGGAGUGGAGGUUCUCCAAACCUAAAUCAUUUAAGUCACCCCUCCUUAGUCUGGUCCCAAUACGAAGACAAAGCCUUUCAAGGUGGGGCAUAGCUCCUGGUUGAAACGACGGCAUCAUGCAGCUAUAAAAGUGAAAAUCUUUUAAACUCCGAAAUGCACAUGCACCUCUGUGGAUAGUGAGCUUUUCCUGCAGUUGUUCCGAAACAAAUGCUAACUGUAGCCUGAGAAAGCGAAGAGAUGGAAGCUCAGCGAGGCGAUCAAGGUGGUCAGACUGGAGAUAUUCGAAAUCCAGACAAAUGGAUAAGGUGGUGAGGCGGGAGAGCAUCGACGAAUUGAUCCAACAUGGGAAUGCUUUCAUAUACGAAUGGUGCAUGAACAACCUUUGGAGACCGAAAGGAACCUGUUGCAUGUCUAUGAUUUCUUCAAAAUUAAAAUUAUUUCUCAAAUCUAGGUCUUGCAAAUUGGUGAACCUUUGUAUAGACGUUUGAAUGGAUUCCUUUAACUCUAAUGUUUUGACACUAUUGAAAACGAUCCUAAGAGUCCUUAGCUCUGUCAAAUUACCAAUCUCUUUUAUUACCUUUCAGGUAGCUUCUAUUACAAGCUCCUGUAAAGAUUUCAUAUCCCUUAGCAUCAGACCUUGUGCCAGCUUCACUCUGCCAGCAUAUAGCCGCAAUAGUUUCCUUAGUUUGACAAAAGACAUUGGAAACAGCACCUUAUGAGAUUUUGAAGAAUUUGGUUUCCUUGCACCUCUUAUGUCCAAGGUUUCGAGAGAUUCCAGUUUCCCAAUGCUUUCAGGGAGCUUAGUGGCACUAUAGUGCCCUAGACGCAGAAAUCUUAGGAGGCGUAGCUUAUCGAGAUGAUUAAGAUGGUUCUUGUCCAUUCCACUGCAGUCCUCAAGCUGCAACACACGCAGGACAUGAAAGCUCGACAAGGGUGGUAUCGAGUCGACCUUGCCGAAGAUAGUAAUGGACCUUACUUUGGACAAUUGUUCUCUUGCUUCUGGUGAGGCAUAGGACUUAUUGCUGUUAUGGAGAGAUAAUCGGCGAAUCUUCUUCUUUUGUGCUGUACAUGUAUGUUUACCUGUUUGUUGACCAUCUGAUAAAUACGUUGUAACAAAAUCUUCUUCUACUGACAGCUGAUUUAUUAGCUCAAGCACCAUGUCAUGUACUUUGCAUUGAUGCACCUUACCAUCAUCCAACAGAUAAUAGACACUCAUCGGCUGGAUCAAGCUUCGAUUGAUGAGCUCGCUGAAGUAGCUCUCUCCAAUCUCCUGCAAGCUUGUCCCUGCAGGUCGUGUUUCAUCUGUAAUAAAACCCUCUGCAAACCAAUCCCAUAUCAAAACAUCUUUUCUAAUUAGCUCAUCCUCAGGAUAUUUGCUUAGAGACAACAAGCAAGUCUUCAAAUGAAAAGGUAGAUCGUUGUAACUGAGGCUUAAUAUCUUCCGCAUGUUGUCCACAUCAAGGUUGUUCUCCAGCCCCAAACUGAUAGACUUAUUGACCUUGUCCCAUUCCUCUGAAUUCCUUGGUUUGCUAGCAAGUAGGCAUGCUGUAGUGAUGAUUGC